UCCCUGGUGGUCCAGCGGUUAAGAUUCUGCACUGCCACUGCAGGGGGCACGGGUUCAAUCCCUGGUCAGGGAA
Molecule: non-coding RNA, 73 nt
Organism: Mesoplodon densirostris (Blainville's beaked whale)
Lineage: Eukaryota; Metazoa; Chordata; Mammalia; Artiodactyla; Ziphiidae
Source: the annotation of a RefSeq genome assembly